RNAcentral lists this transfer RNA (72 nucleotides) under Pleuronectes platessa (European plaice). RNAcentral's name for it is "tRNA-Trp". Lineage: Eukaryota; Metazoa; Chordata; Actinopteri; Pleuronectiformes; Pleuronectidae. The record is from RNAcentral.
GACCUUUUGGCUCAAUGGCAGCACGUCUGACUCCAGAUCAGAAGGAUGCUUGUCCAAAUCACAUCAAGGUCA